Long non-coding RNA from Callithrix jacchus (white-tufted-ear marmoset), 1630 nucleotides. RefSeq lists it as uncharacterized. The record is from RefSeq and is a predicted model, not a curated record. NCBI's taxonomy places the organism in Eukaryota, Metazoa, Chordata, Mammalia, Primates, Cebidae.
GAUUUAGGUGAGUUGGGGAAACACAUGUGGCCUGGGGCAGGAUAUCUAUUUCUCUGAGGACCUGAGGGGUCUCCUGGGUGAGAUGAUGAGUGUCUGCAUCAUGACUAGUGGAUAUUCUUGAUUUUUCAGUAGCUCAGCUCCUCCAAAUAGGGUCUCUGUACCUCUGAUGCUGCCAUUGACUUGUACCUUCCUUUCUGGCUGCACCAAUAAGGGUAACACAGUCCCUGGUCCUAUACCCUGAAUGUUCUCAGCCUCCUAGCCCCCAUCCAUUGCCCUGACCUGAGCUGCAAGCCUGGACACCUGGGUCUAGUUCUUGUCCCUCUAUCUCCCAAGCUGCUCAGAAAGGAGAUGGAACAUCCCCUGAGUUCCAUACAGAGGAACUGAGUAAACCUUAACAGCUACAAUUCCUUGGAUUGAACUGCAUACAAUUCCAAGUGCACAAAGGCAUCCUUGUUCAGGAAAUCUUCUGGAGUGGCACACGCUCAGAUCCACAGCUGGAAGACUCUCUGAUGCCUGUCAGAAUGAAACCCUUGUGAAUGAGGAGACAGCUUAGCCUGGCUUUCUGAUGCUCCCGGCUUCCUGUCAGACCCCUUCCCUCAAGCAGAGAGGGAGCCCUCCCUGUUCCUCAGGGAUUUGCUCCAGACACCCACAGGUCAAUGGGAGGUCCAGAAAUCUGCCAGGCAGUGACAGGACAAAGCGACGCUGACAGCUUGGUGGAGCUCAUUGUAGCGGAGAUGUGAGCUGACUGGAGCUGGCUUGCUGCUGAUGUGCCCUGCGUGUUUACCUACACACCACAAAGGAAGCAGGUUUAACUCUUCACGGAGCCUCUCUCCAACUUAGCUCUGAUUGUUCAUUUAUUCAUUCGUUUGUUUAAUCAGUUGCUCAAGAAUUUAAAAAUACUUAUUAUGUGGCAGGCACUAAGAUUAGUACUGGAAACACUGGUAUAAAUAAGACUCCUUCUGUCUUUGAGAAACUCAUGUUCUAAAUACACAACAGAUCACAAAACAGGGUACAAAAUGCCGCAGUGGAAGCGAGCAUUAGCCAGGCUCAGUGGUUCAUACCUGUAAUCCCAGCACUUCGGGAGGCCGAGAUGGGUGGAUCACUUGAACCCAGGAGUUUCAGACCAGCCUGGGCAACCCCAUCUAUACAAAAAAUGCAAAAACUAGCUGGGCAUGGCAGUGUGCACCGGUAGUCAGUCCAGCUACUUGGGAGGCUGAGGUGAGAGGAGCUCAGGUCCAGCUACUUGAGCUCAGGAGGCAGAAGCUGCAAUAAGUGAGAUCGCACCACUGCACUCCAGCCAUGGCAACAGAGUAAGACCUUGCCUAAAAAAAAAAAAGAUGGACAUUAAGUAUUCUGAGAACACAGAAUAAGAAGGGGGCAAUUUUGCCUGAUAGGGGAUAAUAGGUCAGGGAAGGCUUCCCUGAAAAAGGGACAUAAUAAUCUUGAAGAAAUGGUCAUAAAAUCAUGUGUUGAAUAAAGCAGUUUUGGUUUCAAGUAACAGAAACUAACUGGUUGGUUAAAAACAGAAGGAGUUAUUGGGAGGAUCCUGGUUGUUUCAGAGAAUCCAAGAAAGAGAUGAGCAAGUACAUCUCAAGAGCUGCAAGAAGUCAAAAGCUCUGUAGAGCUUAUG